GGUCUUGUAUUCAUUUUGUGAUGACAGAAUGCAAUUCUGUAGGGGUAGGUAAAUAAGGCUUACCAAGGCCU
This 71-nucleotide transfer RNA is filed under the name Heterotermes malabaricus. RNAcentral describes it as "tRNA-Cys". The record is from RNAcentral. Lineage: Eukaryota; Metazoa; Arthropoda; Insecta; Blattodea; Rhinotermitidae.